This 253-nucleotide ribosomal RNA is filed under the name uncultured bacterium. RNAcentral's name for it is "partial 16S ribosomal RNA". It matches the Rfam family "Bacterial small subunit ribosomal RNA", at positions 524 to 776 of the family's 1533-position model. The record is from RNAcentral.
UACGAAGGGGGCUAGCGUUGUUCGGAAUCACUGGGCGUAAAGGGCGCGUAGGCGGCUUUGUAAGUCGGGGGUGAAAGCCUGUGGCUCAACCACAGAAUUGCCUUCGAUACUGUAGAGCUUGAGACCGGAAGAGGUUAGUGGAACUGCGAGUGUAGAGGUGAAAUUCGUAGAUAUUCGCAAGAACACCAGUGGCGAAGGCGGCUGACUGGUCCGGUUCUGACGCUGAGGCACGAAAGCCAAGGGAGCAAACAGG